UUCACCGCAGUUGUGCUUGAUCUUCCAUUUAGUUCCUCUAGAGUGUAGAUUGUAAUGAGUAUCAUCAAGUUUUAUAAAGACAAAACCAAAUUAAAGUUUCAGUCAAGUGCAUUUAUUCGUUCAUAACAGUUACCUUCAAAAUCUAUAUAUAGAUUUACACAAGAUUAAUGUAGAGGAGGGAUAAAAUAAUGACUGGAGAGGAUUUCUCUGGUCUGAGACUCGACCGCAGCACUUUGACCUGUACACUGGAGGACUGUUUGUGGUGCUCUCCUGUGAUCCCACACAGGCAAUGAUAACUUAGCGGAGGGGGCUGUGCUAUCGCUCCUCUCCUCUGCUCGAUGGAGCAGCUUGUUGUAGAAGUAAUACAUGAUUUCCUACCAUGAUGUGACCCAAUUUCUAACUGCGGGGAGCUCGAAGGGCACUUGCCAAGGCAGUUGAUGCUGACCGCUGUUUUGCGGCUGUAAUCUUUUGGAACAGGGUACAUUUCAACAUAUAAAUCGCAUGUUUUCUGAUUGUAGUUUCAUGCACUUGACAUCUGAAUGUAGACUUUCUUCAUAAUGUACUGUACACUACCAAUCAAAUGUUUGGGGUCAGUAAGAUUUUUUUUUUUUUUUUGAAAGACACUUAUGCUCACCAAGGCUGCAUUCACUUAAUUAAAAAUACGGUAAAAUCAGUAAUAUUGUGAAAUAUUUUAACAAUCUAAAAUAAAUGUUUUCUAUUUGAAUAUAUUUUAAAAUGUAAUUUAUUUCUGUGAUGGCAAAGCUGAAUUUUCAACAGCCAUUUGUUCAAUCUUCAGUGUCACAUGAUCCUUCAGAAAUCAUUCGAACAUGUUGAUUUGCUGCGCAAAACAUUUUAAAAUGUAGAAAAUAAUGUUUUUUUUUUUUUUUGUGGAAACCAUUGAUUUUAAAUUUUGAGUUGGAAUUAAUUUUUGUUUUUUGUUUUUAACUGUCCCCAAACAUUUGAAUGGUUGUGUGUUGUAUUUCAGGCUUUUAUAUAUUGUCUAGUUCAGUGUAAUAUUAACAGUUCACCAGUCAAAUUAAUGAACAGAAACUUUGCAAAGUAAGUUUAUAAACAUUAAUAUCCUGCUUUAAAAUGGUAGUGCCAUUAAUUGUACAUGAACGCAAAUGGAUUUGAAGGCGUAAGAAAUGCAAUGAAAUGUGUUUCAUACUCAGAGACACUUCCUACAGUAGCAACUAAAGCACUUCAGUCAGAGCGUUGUGUUUGGCACUGCUUAUCGCUCGCCUCUGAUGUUAUCAAGGCGAAAUGUAAGCUCACAAAAGGAAUUUAAGAAGAGAGUAAAGUGCUACAACAAAAUAGAGUGCCCAGUGGUAGAAAUGUCACUGAUAUUGAGCUUCUUUUAUCACAGAAUUCAAGUGCAUGCCUUCAAUCGCAUGAAUGCAGCUUUAAGUUAAUAACUGCCCAGGCAGGCAAAUACCCUUUAUUUCAGACCUACAAAUUGUACGUUAUAUGCUCAGUUAUUCAUCAUGAAUGUAAAUUAAGAUCUUACAGAUGUUUACAUACCUGCAAACUCAACACCUUUGGGCGAAACUUGAAUGUACAUGUAUCUUUGAAGGGAACUGACUGUCUUCAGAAAGUUUCAAGGGUGUUUUCUUUUCAUCCUCUGUGUAAUGUCUAAUACUAUGGUGUUUAAAAGCGCACAUCUGCUUUGUGUACAGGGGUAACCACUGUAUUUCUGCUUUU
Molecule: long non-coding RNA, 1701 nt
Organism: Cyprinus carpio carpio
Lineage: Eukaryota; Metazoa; Chordata; Actinopteri; Cypriniformes; Cyprinidae
Source: Ensembl